GUUGAAUUAUUUAUUCUGUAUACACAUUCAAUUCAAACAGCACAGAAGUUAUGACAAGUCAGAACUCAAUUACAAAAACAUGUUUUGUAUGACUUUAGUGUACAAGUAUGUGUCCCUUUCUUUAUUGCAGGUAUGUUCAAAACUGUCUAUCUCUCUGAAUAAGGAUAAUAAUAACAAUCAGGCAAUGAGACGGCUAUUAAUCUGACUGCUUCAAUACUGUAUCCAACACAUUUCAUGUAGAACAUUCCCUGAUCACUAUGAACACAUGCAGAUAAUAUUUGUAAUUGGAAAAACGCAGCAUUUGAUGGAUAUACAGUAAAUGGAUGGAAUCUUCACCAAACAAUGUCUUUCUUUUCACUGUGUCAGUCAAACAUUAAACAACAUUUGCAAUACAGCCAGAGGGUGAGUCAUUCACAUUUAUUUGCAUAGAGUAGUCAGUUCUAUUCAUAAAGUAACUAAUUGCACAUGACAGAGGAUAGACAUCCAGAGAGCUUCUCUUGUAAGCAGCCCACACAUUAGGGCACUGUAGUGCUUCUCUGAAGCCCAGUACACUCCAGAGUACUCUAAAUAGUACAAUAGGGACCAAACCACACACACACACACUCACACGCGCACACGGACCACACACACACACACUUAGAUUAAGGUAUGAACACAUGUUGAUCUCAUCCCUUUUGAUUUCACAUCAUACACACAUUGUCUUACAUUCUGCUGUAAUGUUAAAAGUUAUAUUGAAACUAUACACUCUCAGCCAGGGAAAAGAGAACAUUCAUUACCCAAGUGCAAUAUCUCUGCAGAUAAUCCGUGUGCAACUUCUGCAAACAAUUUCUUCUAAUAACUCCAAACAUUGUCCUUACAGUAAAUCUCUCCAAGCAUUAAUUUUAGGGGGGAUUCUUCAGUGCCCUAAUUUCUCAGUGUUUGACUGGAGAGGAUGCCAAUGAGGAAGGCCUUGCGUGACAUCCUGGGAUCUGACAUGCUAUUCCCGCUGGUGCGUCUAAACCGACUGCCAGGGCCCAGGGCUCAGGGCUCAGGGCUGAUGGAAGAGGCUUCCUCUGGAGGUUGUCAACACCAGCAGGACCUGGAGGCACAGAGAUAAAAAAACAACAUGUAAGUCACCCAUGUCACGUUGCUUAACACAAGAACCCAGAACACAGCGUAUUGGUUAACUGUAAACAGUGACCAGUAUUGUUUUAGGUCACAGUAAGAUGGAGGGAUGACAAUGAUCUUGGCCUUGAUGCUUGAUGGAAUCUAGUUUGGGAGCAGGGAAUGUGUCAGACAGUGAAUGAUUGGUUAAAAAAUAAAUGUGGAUGUACAGUCUUCCAUCUAUUUCUACAUUGGGUUAUUCAAAACACAUUAACACCAGUUUCGGUACUUGGAGUACACCAAUAGAAAUGUUAUGAAUAAUAAGGACAAUUGUGUUACAGUAUGUGCAAAGUAAUUUCAGAGAGGACAGAAACAGAAAAGGACAGAUUUUACCAAUAAAAAGAAUCAUUGUGAAUUCAUGUGGGAUAUUACAGUUUUCUGAUAACUGUGUUUAUUGCGUCAUCCUUAACUGUCAUCAACUUAACAACUAAGACAAAUCUAGCUGUCUCUCAUCAAGUUUUGAAUAUACACGGGGCAGUCUACCCGCACCAUUACCAAUUUCACCAAAUUAUAUAUAGAGAGGUUUCUGGACAAUUUAAUCCCACCGGGGGACUUGGCCAGACCCUUUCUCUGUCAAUUUUCCACCCUCUCCCUUAUUCAAGCCCCCUCUUUUUUCUCUUCCUCCACAAUGCGGGAUCUCUCCCUCUUUCUUUUUUAUGUUCUCUCAUAUAUUUUUUUCUCUGCGGCUCCCCUCGCCGCCAAACCCUCAGACAGCAUGCAGCUUAUGCAAAUCAUCAGCCUUUUAUGCUCAAUACUCGUCCUCAGUCCUGAAUGAGACCUCAACAAAACACACACACACACACACUCAGGUUCAUUUAAAAUGUCCAAAUACACAUAGCCCCCAGUGUUCUCACUCAAAGUCUUUAGCACCAUUCCAGUCCAUUUGUAUUUGAAAGCCUCAACCUGACUGGAUGAGCUCCCAGUUAGUAGGGUAGGAAGAGGCAGACAGAUGAGAGGGUCCUGCUUCUACUGUCCCAGAGAGGGAGGGAGGGAUGCAUAGGAGAGACAGGAUGGGAGAAAGAUGGAGGGAGAGUGAAGGAGACAGGGAGGUAAGGAGUGAGUGAUGGAGAGAGGGGAGUCUAAUGAAUAUAAAAUGUUCUCUGUGCUUCUGUGUUCCCAGGCUCUGGCCUGUCUGCUAGGGGACAGGAGGAGGAUGGGAGGGGGACCAGAGUGGGGGGACAGGGUGCCUUUGCCCAGCUGUAAGGGGGACCUAAGGGACUUCUCACACACUUUCUGACAGGCUGUCCCUUUCACCAGCACAUAGCUGGGCCCGCCAGGCCUGCUACCAUAACAACGCUGCAGCCCCUCUGUCAUAGCAACGCCACGGAAACGCCACAGAACACUGGGCUCCCCCAGCCUGCCUUGGACACGACCAUCAGGGGGAGGAUGGGAAGGGGGUUGACAAAAGUAGAUGAAGAAGUACUGAAUGUGAAUCAGAGUCUAGACAUUCCCACCGCUGUGAACUUGAACUUGACAGACAGCCUGAAAUGUUCACAGGUCGUGUGAGUGAUGCGCAGAUAGAGAGAUACACGCAGCACAAUGGAGGUGAAGACUAUCUAGUGAUACAUUCCUUAACCUUUUCUAAAUGAUCCCACAAUAAAUGGAUACAAAAUGCCUUUAUUUAUGAUGAAGUGGUCAUUAAAACUUGUUUGGUUGACCAAUUGUUUGCCCACAUUUGGUGAAAACACCAUAGCCUUUAGCUAGGGCUGUUCUGGCCGCUGUCUCCAUACUAAUGCCUGUAAGCUGAGGCAGGCCCAUGUCUGGGGGUCCACGCUGUUUAUGGCCACUGGGCCAUGGGAAGAAAAGAGAUGUGAAAGGUCCCCUGUUGCCGUUACAAAGCUGAGAACAAUCCUUGGCGGGAUAAUCGCGUUUAUCCCCAGAUUAAGACGAGAUCGCAGCUGAGGUAUCCUCACAGGAGGAGAGGAGAGGGAGUGUAAAACAUACAAUCUUUAGACAAAGCUCAGAGCAGGGUGUGUGAUUUAGUCCCUUUUAUGGACAAGUUAUAACAUUGAAUGUGAUGGAAGAUUACUUAAAUGUGUUUAUCUACAUGGGUCUGAACCCACCCGUCAGUUGUUAAUUCUGCCUGGAUCAUGGUGAAAAAACUGUAUUGAUUCAUUGGUUGUGUUUAGCAGCGGGGUCUUGAUAAAAUCCACAAGGCUUCAGCUACAGUACAAUGUGGGAUUUGGGAACCACAGCUUUAGGUGUUCAGUGGAGGUGUAACAGAAGCAUUCACAGCCAUUCUAUUCUUAUUGUUAACCCAUUCUCUAACAGCCCACUUGACCUCAUGAGAAAUGGCAGAAUAGAGCUACGGUAACACUCUGAAAAGAAAGAACUCAUUUUAUAGUCAUAACCCAAGUAUGAUCGGUAUCUUGCAUUUGAUUCAGAUUGAGCUCCUUAGUGGGAUAAUACAAGGUGGUUCCAGACAGCUCCCAGACCCCUGUUCACCCUGUCUAUGAAUAUGCCAGCUGCAGCCUCAGCCACAUGGAAACACAGACAGACACACAGAGGCAGACAGUACAUCCCCUCCCCCAACACACACACUGACUGUCCACACAAACAUAUAAACACACAGAAGUGCAUAAAAACACACAGAUACUAUGCAUAAAUACACACACACACGCACAAACUCCCCACCACCUUACAUUCUGAAUGGAUAAACCUGUUAACGCUCAAACAUAAUUUCUCUCUCUUUACAACUGUUUUAAACAUGAUAUUUAAGUGAGCUCUUCUGUGCUAUCCCUCUCACAUUCUCUUUCAUUACCUUUGUUUACCUCUCAUUCUUUUCUUCCUGCAUACAUUAUCACCUAUUAUCAUUGUCUGAAUGCCUUACUGUGAAAUAUUGUUGUCUGCCCCUUGGUAAAAACAACUUCUCUCCCUCCUUUCUCUCUCAUUUUCCCUCUGGCUGCCUCCUUUUACAGGGUAAUAUAUUGUGAUUGUCAUUUAAUUAAUAGCCUGUCUGUAGGGGAAGGGAAAUCGGGAAUACAGUCUGCCACCCAGCUCAAAUGUAACAUGACAUUCUCAAUGCCAAAUUGUUAAUCCAUACUAACAAAUUAUGCCUUUUUAAAUCAUAAAAUUCAGUGAAGAUUUUACAUCUGUGAAUGAUUGAAAAUUGUUCUCCCAUAAACAACCAUUAAUAUGCUGGCUGUUAUAGACACAAGGUAGUUGAAGCUUUUAUGAGGGGCAGUAACCCCCAGCGUACUCAGUGAGUUAAGAUACGUUUAGGUUUUCCAACAUUGUAACUAUGAAUAAUAUUUUAAACACAUGCCUCUGAUUAUCCUUUAACUUAUUAUUUUAACAGUGCAACAUCAUUUAAAAAAUAGCUAAUUUAGGGCUUUAAACUAAUUUGAUCAUUUGUGCAAAACACACACACACACACACACACACACACACACACACACACACACACACACACACACACACACACACACACACACACACACACACACACACACACACUGAGACACAUUCACUAACACACACAGACAUAAAUACAUAGAAAAACGGGGAGAGGGGCUGCUUUUCCAGGGGGCACUCUCAUGGUUUUGGCGCUAAUGCAGGCAUCUGGCAGUGUCUGGUCUGGAGCGUCUUUCCCACCCCAUUACCCCCUGUGUCUCCUGCAGCACCCACCCACACAAUGGUGGGAAAGAGGGGUGGUGGACCUCCGUCAAGAGCUCUCCUCACAAAGCAGUCAUUGUGGAGGGGAGCCAGGAGCAGAAUGAUAAUGUGGACUCCAUCUACUGUUUACCAACAGGCAGACUAGCUACAGACAGACAGCUGUAGUACACAGUGCACUACACCAACCUGCAGCCCUGCAGCCCAGGCUCAAAGAUCACAGCUCACUGUGGCUCUCUGCUCUGUUCCCCAGUGCCAGGAGCUAAAAGAGACAUUUAACAGGAAUCUGUAUGGAUGUUUUGUACGUGGGUGAGAGUGAGAGUGAGAGUGUGUGUGUGUGUCUGUGUGUGUGUGUGUGUGUGCAUGUGUGUCUUUCUGUUCACGUGUGCAUUUCAGACUGCCGUGUCUAUGGGCACCCUACAAUGUGGUAUUAAUCACAUUGCGGAAAGAUAGCAUUGUCCCAUUCUCUUAUAGAACACAUUUAAAUCCAGCCAGGUCACUCGUGAUACAAGUCAAUAUUAGACGUCCAUCCAUGUCUGAGGACAUUGGGAGAUGAUGUGGAAACCGGCCACCAGAGGCAACAGUGAGUGCUUUUACAGUCAAAUAGGUUUGGGUUUUGCUAGGGUGUUGUGGACAGGAUGGAGGAUGGGCUUAACGUUGGUUGUUCUAAUUCAGCGAUAGGAAGUUGUUUUUGAGAUUUUUGUUUUAAACCUAUCCCAAACCUUAAACCGUACCUUAAUCAUUUGGAGUUAACGCCUAACCUUAAGACUUUGGAGUUACAGUAGUGCCUAAACUUAACCCUAACCUUAAAAAUGUGGAGCUAAUGCCUAAACUUAACCUUAAACACUUCGAAAUGUGACAUUUGAGAAACAUGGAUGAACGUCUAAUUCUGACGUGAGACUGUGAGAGCUAGUUGUUCAAAUCAACGUGUUUUGGUUCACACAGCCAAUGUCUAAUUAAAACGUGCAUCUACUCGGCACAUGUGCGUGCAGAAUGCAACAUCACCAGCCAUUACAGUAAAAACAUCUGCCUUAAACUGAUGCUGUCCUAGGUGCUGAAUUAGAUUGCAAUGCUACUGCAUUCACUGACAAACCACUGAUUACAUACUGUACAACUGGCUCCCACCACAUCACCAGCAAAUAAUUCCCUGUGUCCAGCGUUAACAAUCAGGAUUGAAGACAAUGGGGAGAUAUGCAUGUAGUCUACUGUAACAGCAAUAGUCUUCUUCAUUAACUGGGAACUAGGCCAUAUGAAAUCAAUCCACCCAAUGAAAACAAAGAGAUCAGUCAUGUUUACAGAUUUCAUAACCUUUAAACCUGUCAACCAGGAGGAUUAUAGACAGAGCAUUCUCUAUAUCGCCCCCCAAUUAGUAGUAAGAAUCAUCCAAAUACAAGCCCACUGUUUCUGAGUAAAUGGGACAUGAAGCAUCAGGAUCAAAAUAGGUCUAUUUUAGUCCCACAGUCAGUCUGAAAUGGAACAGUCUUUGUAUCUGCAUUCAUGUGUUGAAAGUAGAAUAUAUAGGAUAUGAGGAUUUUAUGACAGCUAUAUGGUGGGAAAUUAUCACUGUAAGAACUUUCUCUCACAUGAAUGCAAAAUAACUCACAUCCAUGCUCUGUGAGAAUAGUUGCUAUGGCACCUAAUCCACAUAGUGGAAAUGAUUAAUUAAUUGAUACAGCCAGAUGUGAUAGUAUUCGAAUAGACUUAACAAAGCAUAUUCAAUGUCAUAGGCUUUGCCUUGGGCGCGCACACACACACACACACACACACACACACACACACACACACACACACAUCAUCAUAUUUACAUCAAAUGCUAUUCAUUAUGAGAUUCCCUACAACUGAUUGUAGGUUUAAUUAACACAUUGUGUGUAGAGCUAGUCCUUUGCUUCUUCCAGUAAGCUUCUUUAUAUCUGCCCAUCCCUGUAUUCUAUGCAGUGACACAUCUGCGAUGGAGGCCUUGAGAAUAUGUAAAUCAGGUAUGAGGAGGCCCCUCCCCCCUAUGGAGAGACUGCUAGUCUAAUUAAAGGUUGCCUGGGCAUUAAAGGCACAGUUGUCCUUUGUUGUAUUAAAGGCAUAGUGGAUUUCCUUCAUCAUAAUAAAGGCACAUUUUUUUCUUUGUUAUGUUAAAGCUACAGUAAUCUUUGAUUGUACUAAAAUACAUAGUGGUUAAUCAUUUAUCAUCCCAUGUAAUGUACAUGAUGAUGAAUACAUGCACGUAUGGGUAGGCUAGCUACUGUAGAUCUUUCAUCCAAUGCACGUAAGAUGGAUGUAUAAUCACUCAACAAGCAUUGCGAUCUUAUUCUUGUGUGUACAAACAAUCAAGCAUGCAUUUUUUUGGGAUACGAAUUAAUGUUGCUCCAAAUGAAUGCUAUUUCCCUACAUGAUUUAGUGGGGUAUUAUCCCUAAAUCAAAAUAUCAUAGAAACAUAAUAUACCAUAUGAUGUCAGGUGGAACGUGUCUAUAGGCCUAUUUUUUGUUGUUGUAAUUAAAUGAAAUCAUAAUUUAACAAUUGACAUUGUAUUUACCAUAUAGGAGGCAUUAGGCUGUAUGUAUUAUAAGUCACUCUCUCUUUGUAUCUGGUGUGGUUUCGUUUGGCUGCCAUAAAGGUUUCAUAAAAAGAUACCCUACUGUAAGGGAUGAUCUACACUGGCUUUUACAUUUCAUUAGUUACAGUAAAGGGACUUCAGGAUUUAGGGGAUAUUCGGGUUAAACUGGAUAUUUUUACAUUUGGCAAAAAUUAAUCCCACAUUUUCCACUUUGCUGUCGCGUGUCUCGUGCAGCUAAACCCUACGCGAAUACAAGGCUGCAGCCCGCGCCUCUAAUGUGCUGCUGUUCCUUUAAAGAGGGCUCUGCAUUCUCUCCUCGUUUCUAUGCAAUUAUGUUAAUAUACAGAGCUUGUCUGGUGCUCUUCAUUAACGGCUGCAGUUGCAUCAUUGUUUCCUUUAUUUGUUAUCUCUGUAAAGCCAAUGAUUCAGUAACAGGCUAUAUUUAGGUGUUUUCUUCCUUACAAAUAUGUGGUCUUUAAUAGUGAUGGAUUAAGUAGGCCGUAUGUAAAGUAUUUUUAUAAAUAUUAGCGUUUAUUUGUGGGUUUUCUAUUGCAAAUUAUCUUAUCUCAAGGUCGUGCUUUGCAUCCGGUUUGUGUUGGACAUCGGUUUCUAAAUAGACAGACAAGGUCCUACCUUCAUACAAAGCUGAAGGCAGCAGCGUCAGAACCUGACGACUACAGGGAGCCAGCUCAGAUCUGGGUCAUGCUGCCACCAGCACAAACCAGGAACAUACUGGAGCUUUUACACAUCUUCAUCUCCACCAAGGCUCCCAUGGAGGCAUAGAGAAACCUGAAGCCAAGAGGCACGGAGCUGCAUCCUAGCACCUGUCAUUCACACCCACAUUGGUUCAUGUUCUGUUUUCAACCUCUCUCUCAUAUUCUCUCCUCUCAUCAUGCCUCUCUAUAUCUGCCAUUAGCUGUUACUCUACCAUAUAAUAUGCACAUGUACUGUAUACCUUACUUACCAUAUAGUAGACAGCGUGUGCUGUUCACACUGCAGAGUUUCUGUGUGUAUCUCAGGCAGCCACUGCAGUGACAAGGGCACUGGAUCAACCUUUGACAAUAACAAAGACAUUUCCAAAUACAAUACAAUUGCAAUAGUGAGAAAAAAAACUACACGUAUCCAUUAAAACAAUACGCUUGAAUUCUCAUCACUAACAUUCAGCGACAAUUAAUUUGACCAUUGUCGGGUUAUAGAAUAGUCAUGCCAAGGGUUCUUCUACAACAUUCAAAGGACAUGUUUAUUUGGAUUAGGCCUAGAGAAGAAUAGAGUGGUGAGAUAGAUGUGGUUGAUUUAGAUAAUGUCUCCAUUCUUCUUUGUUGGGAAUUGUUUGGACCAGAGCCUGCAUUACAGUUAUUGAUGAGGAGAUUCAGAUAGGCAGGCUGGAGGACACAAGGCUUUUGUUUUGAGUAGAGUAGAGGUGCAAUCAGCAUGCAGUUAGUGAAGAAAGGUGAAGCUACAAUAAAUACGUAUAGAUGGAUAUUUUAAACAUAUAUUGAGAUUGAUUAGAAUAUGAAGUGUUCAAAUCAAGUGAGUUGAUCAUAGUUGUUCAUUUCCAUCAUCAACAACUAGCCUACUCUCAGUAUUAAAAUACCUGAGUAGGAAUUUAGAUAUCGGCCAACACUUGGGUAAUGUAAAGCUCAGAAUAGACAUCAAUAGGAUGCGGUUUUGGUUAAGGACGAGAUUAUCAGAAUAGCGACUGGUGGGCCGUAUGUCACUGGGUUGACCAGUGGAAAUUCUAAAUUGUCUGGUGACACACUUGAAUGGAGAGUUUUGUCCGGUCGUGGGAAAAGCUCGCUUGGUCGUUUCACAAAUCCAGCGUAUAGCCUCCUCCUACUGAAUCAAACCAAUUAGCCAGGAGCGCGCUCCAGCCAUUGAGAGCCACUGUAGGCUCUGAGAGGAGUUGUUGGUUGAAUGAAAAUGCAUCCCCGGAUUUGGUUCUCCAAGAGAAGCUAUAGAAGUUGCCUUUUGAAGGACGGCUAUAGCACCGUGAAGGGCCAGGCAGAAAGUCCAAAUUGAGACACUUGAAUCAUUUGGGCGAUUAGGUGUGCACACAAUGCGUAAAAGUAUUGUGUGACUCACAUGGGAGGUAUAAUGCAUUUAAAAUCUACAAAAACCAUGAAUAUCUUAAGUGUUCUUCCUUUCUAGGUAACACAACUCAAUGUGAGAACACAACUACAUGUUUUUAUUCCUGAAAUGAUGCGUUUAUGUAAUGACAUGGAUCUCUUGACUUAAUAUCGACUGAAAGAUAUCAUUAGCCUACGCUUAUUCAGAAUAUCAGUGCAAGGGGUAGGCAAAGCCUACAUAGCUCAUCUUUUUCAUAGGCGUUGGACUACAGUAGGCCUAAAUACGUCAUAAGGGCUAAUAAGGGCUUGCUGUCCCCAGUCCACCUGGCCAUGCUGCUGCUCCAGUUUCAACUUCCACCUGACUGUGCUGCUGCUCCAGUUUCAACUGUUCUGCCUUAUUAUUAUUCGACCAUGCUGGUCAUUUAUGAACAUUUGAACAUCUUGGCCAUGUUCUGUUAUAAUCUCCACCCGGCACAGCCAGAAGAGGACUGGCCACCCCACAUAGCCUGGUUCCUCUCUAGGUUUCUUCCUAGGUUUUGGCCUUUCUAGGGAGUUUUUCCUAGCCACCGUGCUUCUACACCUGCAUUGCUUGCUGUUUGGGGUUUUAGGCUGGGUUUCUGUACAGCACUUUGAGAUAUCAGCUGAUGUACGAAGGGCUAUAUAAAUAAAAAAUAAAAAAAAUAAAAAAAAUAAUAGCGGCCAUUUUCUGGAAAAUGUAAACCUUUCCACCUUUUUAAGAAUGAUAUCAAUAUGAGCUACAAAUCUUAAUCCAUUUCAUUAAACCUUAAUUCAAUAUGUGUUUGCGUGUAUGUAAACCUGAUUUAUGCAGUGAGAACUAUAAGGAAUACAGCCUCAACUGUGGAUACUUUUAUGCAACAAAGCUUUAUUCAUAUUCAGGCCUGAAUACCAAUUGUUACAGUUCACGCAUAUGACUGGAUUAAGUUAUGUAUUCCUCUGAACGGAAUAAAGGCUUUUUCUGAAGUAUUUUUCGUUUUAGAAGAUGUUUUAGGCAAAAACACUCCAGAUGCUUUGCGUGAUGGAAUAAAUAAAUAUAUAAAGAGCAUUCUUGCUCCAAGCAUACUAAACAAAAGUGGGACAAAUAUACACUUCAAUUCACAGCAUGAUUGUAGAAAAUGUUGUCUUUUCAUUUAAUGCUAUAAAGAUGAUCCUACUUAUAUUUUGAGAAUAUCUUCUCUAACUUAAGUAAGAAAACGUAUUAAAAAUCAUUUCGGGUUGUAGCAGGUUUUGAGGAAUUCAGAAGUGUUUCAACAGAUGUCUAUAAUAAGUGAUUAGGGAAAAUUGUUAUAACUUACCGGAAAGGCACUGAGGUAUUGGCCUGUAAUUGCAUAUCAAUUAUGUUAUUUUGUGUCUUUACUCCCAGACACCAUUUAUUCCUGUCCGAGUCGCAGGUUUGGAGGACAUUCCUACUUUCGGUUAGCUAGCUUUAUGACGGCCGAGUAACACUCAUACAGCUAGAUAACCAAAGAUAGCAACCGACUCCUUCUCGUACAUACUGCCAGAGUAUCGU
This is a long non-coding RNA of Oncorhynchus tshawytscha (Chinook salmon), 10895 nucleotides long. The record is from Ensembl. Lineage: Eukaryota; Metazoa; Chordata; Actinopteri; Salmoniformes; Salmonidae.